Molecule: ribosomal RNA, 242 nt
Filed under: uncultured bacterium
Lineage: Bacteria
Description: partial 16S ribosomal RNA
Rfam family: Bacterial small subunit ribosomal RNA
Source: RNAcentral
CACACAGUAAACGAUGAAUACUCGCUGUUUGCGAUAUACAGUAAGCGGCCAAGCGAAAGCAUUAAGUAUUCCACCUGGGGAGUACGCCGGCAACGGUGAAACUCAAAGGAAUUGACGGGGGCCCGCACAAGCGGAGGAACAUGUGGUUUAAUUCGAUGAUACGCGAGGAACCUUACCCGGGAUUGAACGUAAGGGGAAUAAUGUCAAAAGAUGUUAGCUAGCAAUAGCCACUUACGAGGUGC